UCGGGUUGUAAAGCACUUUUGUCCGGAAAGAAAACUUCGGGGCUAAUACCUCUGGAGGAUGACGGUACCGGAAGAAUAAGCACCGGCUAACUACGUGCCAGCAGCGCGGUAAUCGUAGGGUGCGAGCGUUAAUCGGAAUUACUGGGCGUAAAGCGUGCGCAGGCGGUCUGUUAAGACAGAUGUGAAAUCCCCGGGCUUAACCUGGGAACUGCAUUUGUGACUGGCAGGCUAGAGUAUGGCAGAGGGGGGUAGAAUUCCACGUGUAGCAGUGAAAUGCGUAGAGAUGUGGAGGAAUACCGAUGGCGAAGGCAGCCCCCUGGGCCAAUACUGACGCUCAUGCACGAAAGCGUGGGGAGCAAACAGUAUUAGAUACCCUGGUAGUCCACGCCCUAAACGAUGUCAACUAGUUGUUGGGGAUUCAUUUCCUUAGUAACGUAGCUAACGCGUGAAGUUGACCGCCUGGGGAGUACGGUCGCAAGAUUAAAACUCAAAGGAAUUGACGGGGACCCGCACAAGCGGUGGAUGAAUGUGGAUUAAUUCGAUGCAACGCGAAAAACCUUACCUACCCUUGACAUGGUCGGAACCCUGGUG
This 591-nucleotide ribosomal RNA is filed under the name uncultured Burkholderia sp. RNAcentral's name for it is "bacterial SSU rRNA". It matches the Rfam family "Bacterial small subunit ribosomal RNA", at positions 418 to 1003 of the family's 1533-position model. The record is from RNAcentral. Lineage: Bacteria; Pseudomonadati; Pseudomonadota; Betaproteobacteria; Burkholderiales; Burkholderiaceae.